RNAcentral lists this ribosomal RNA (253 nucleotides) under uncultured bacterium. RNAcentral describes it as "partial 16S ribosomal RNA". It matches the Rfam family "Bacterial small subunit ribosomal RNA", at positions 524 to 776 of the family's 1533-position model. The record is from RNAcentral.
UACGUAGGUGGCAAGCGUUGUCCGGAUUUACUGGGCGUAAAGAGCGCGCAGGCGGCCUGAUCAGUCGAAUGUGAAAGCCCCCGGCUUAACUGGGGAGGGUCAUUCGAUACUGUCAGGCUCGAAGGCAGGAGAGGGAAGCGGAAUUCCCGGUGUAGCGGUGAAAUGCGCAGAUAUCGGGAGGAACACCGGUGGCGAAGGCGGCCUUCUGGACGGAUACUGACGCUGAGACGCGAAAGCGUGGGGAGCAAACAGG